RNAcentral lists this ribosomal RNA (339 nucleotides) under uncultured Pseudomonas sp. RNAcentral's name for it is "bacterial SSU rRNA". It matches the Rfam family "Bacterial small subunit ribosomal RNA", at positions 1044 to 1382 of the family's 1533-position model. Lineage: Bacteria; Pseudomonadati; Pseudomonadota; Gammaproteobacteria; Pseudomonadales; Pseudomonadaceae. The record is from RNAcentral.
AGUCGUUGUCGUCAGCUCGUGUCGUGAGAUGUUGGGUUAAGUCCCGUAACGAGCGCAACCCUUGUCCUUAGUUACCAGCACGUUAUGGUGGGCACUCUAAGGAGACUGCCGGUGACAAACCGGAGGAAGGUGGGGAUGACGUCAAGUCAUCAUGGCCCUUACGGCCUGGGCUACACACGUGCUACAAUGGUCGGUACAAAGGGUUGCCAAGCCGCGAGGUGGAGCUAAUCCCAUAAAACCGAUCGUAGUCCGGAUCGCAGUCUGCAACUCGACUGCGUGAAGUCGGAAUCGCUAGUAAUCGUGAAUCAGAAUGUCACGGUGAAUACGUUCCCGGGCCUU